AACGGUAACAGGUCCUUCGGGAUGCUGACGAGUGGCGGACGGGUGCGUAACGCGUGGGAAUCUNNCCAGNAGUGGGGGAUAACCCGGGGAAACUCGGGCUAAUACCGCAUAAUCCCCAAGGGGAAAAGCGGGGGAUCUUCGGACCUCGCGCUAUUGGAUGAGCCCGCGUCCGAUUAGCUAGUUGGUGGGGUAAAGGCCUACCAAGGCGACGAUCGGUAGCUGGUCUGAGAGGACGACCAGCCACACUGGGACUGAGACACGGCCCAGACUCCUACGGGAGGCAGCAGUGGGGAAUAUUGGACAAUGGGGGAAACCCUGAUCCAGCAAUGCCGCGUGUGUGAANANGGCCUGCGGGUUGUAAAGCACUUUCGGCAGGGAAGAAAAGUCGUACGUUAAUACCGUACGGCCUUGACGUUACCUGCAAAAGAAGCACCGGCUAACUCCGUGCCAGCAGCCGCGGUAAU
RNAcentral lists this ribosomal RNA (464 nucleotides) under uncultured Gammaproteobacteria bacterium. RNAcentral describes it as "bacterial SSU rRNA". It matches the Rfam family "Bacterial small subunit ribosomal RNA", at positions 65 to 524 of the family's 1533-position model. The record is from RNAcentral. Lineage: Bacteria; Pseudomonadati; Pseudomonadota; Gammaproteobacteria.